Molecule: ribosomal RNA, 646 nt
Filed under: Bacillus sp. (in: firmicutes)
Lineage: Bacteria; Bacillati; Bacillota; Bacilli; Caryophanales; Bacillaceae
Description: bacterial SSU rRNA
Rfam family: Bacterial small subunit ribosomal RNA
Source: RNAcentral
AUACAUGCAAGUCGAGCGGACAGAAGGGAGCUUGCUCCCGGAUGUUAGCGGCGGACGGGUGAGUAACACGUGGGUAACCUGCCUGUAAGACUGGGAUAACUCCGGGAAACCGGAGCUAAUACCGGAUAGUUCCUUGAACCGCAUGGUUCAAGGAUGAAAGACGGUUUCGGCUGUCACUUACAGAUGGACCCGCGGCGCAUUAGCUAGUUGGUGGGGUAAUGGCUCACCAAGGCGACGAUGCGUAGCCGACCUGAGAGGGUGAUCGGCCACACUGGGACUGAGACACGGCCCAGACUCCUACGGGAGGCAGCAGUAGGGAAUCUUCCGCAAUGGACGAAAGUCUGACGGAGCAACGCCGCGUGAGUGAUGAAGGUUUUCGGAUCGUAAAGCUCUGUUGUUAGGGAAGAACAAGUGCGAGAGUAACUGCUCGCACCUUGACGGUACCUAACCAGAAAGCCACGGCUAACUACGUGCCAGCAGCCGCGGUAAUACGUAGGUGGCAAGCGUUGUCCGGAAUUAUUGGGCGUAAAGGGCUCGCAGGCGGUUUCUUAAGUCUGAUGUGAAAGCCCCCGGCUCAACCGGGGAGGGUCAUUGGAAACUGGGAAACUUGAGUGCAGAAGAGGAGAGUGGAAUUCCACGUGUAGCG